AUGAAUGUAAUUCAAGAAGUUGAAUCUGAAAUAAAUGAAUUUAUUUCCCCAAUUUUUGUAAGACCAAAAAAGAAUGGCGAAUACAGAAUGAUACUUAAUUUGAAAGAAUUAAAUAAACACAUUGAAUAUCAACAUUUCAAAAUGGAUUCUUUUGAAAGCGCUUUAAAUUUGAUUAAAGAAAAUGCAUACAUGUCAAGUGUAGAUCUAAGACAUGCUUAUUAUUCUAUUAACAUUGCUGAACAGCAUAGAAAAUUUUUAAGAUUUGUUUGGAAAGAGAAAUAUUUUCAAUAUUCCUGCUUACCAAAUGGUAUAGCUAUGGCACCAAGGCUUUUUACCAAAAUUAUGAAAGUUGUAUAUGCAAGUUUGCGUAAAAUGGGUUAUGUUAAUGUUGGGUACAUUGACGAUUCACUACUAUUAGGUGAUACUGAACUCGAAUGCAAAAAUAAUGUUACAGAAACUGUUAAUAUGGUGUCAAGCCUUGGAUUUAUAGUACAUAAAGAUAAGUCAGUUUUUACUCCUAAAAAAUGCAUCAAGUUUUUAGGUUUUUACAUUGACUCGGAAACAAUGAUAGUUACUUUACCAGUUGAAAAACAAGAUACUAUUGCUAAAGAAUGCAAACAAUUACAAAGUAAAAAUAAAUGUAAAAUAAGAGAAGUAGCUAGAGUUCUUGGGAUACUCAUAUCUAGUCUCCCUGCUGUGGAAUUUGGUAAACUCUAUUACAGGAAAAUAGAGAGAGAGAAAAUUAAAGCAUUAAAAUUAGCUAUGGGAGAUUUUGAUUCUGAAAUGUUUGUAACAUCAGAAAUGAAACAAGACCUAAAGUGGUGGUCAGAUAAUAUUUAUACUCAAAAGAGGAAAUUUAAUAGAGGUAACCCACAGGUUAUAAUUCAAACAGACGCCUCAAAAUUAGGUUGGGGAGCAGUCUUGAAUGAACAAAAAAUAGGUAGCAGAUGGAGCAAUGAUGAAAAAGAUAAUCAUAUUAAUUGUUUAGAAUUAUUAGCUGUUUAUUAUGCUCUAAAAUCAUUUAAGGAUGAUUUGAAUACUGUUGAAAAAUGUCAAAAUUCUUACAGACAAUACAACUGCUGUAAGCUAUAUAAACAGUAUGGGUGGUAUAAAGUCUAUUGAAUGCAAUAGAAUUGCUAGAAAAAUUUGGAUUUGGUGCAUUGAACACCAAAUAUGGCUGAUUGCUACUCAUAUACCAGGGAAGUUAAAUACAAAAGCAGACUAUCAGUCAAGAAAUUUUAAUGAUCAGAUAGAAUGGCAACUGAAUAAAAACAAUUUUGAAAAAGUAUGUUUAUUAUGGAAUAAACCAGAAAUAGAUUUAUUUGCUUCACAUCUAAAUACUCAGUUACCAAUUUUUUGUUCAUGGAAAGCUGAUCCAGAAUCAUCUUUUGUUGAUGCUUUUACUCUUGAUUGGGGUAAUUUUUCUUACAGUUAUAUGUUUCCUCCUUUCAGCAUGAUCGGACGCUGUGUAAAGAAGAUUAUAAAAGACAAGGCAGACGUGCUGUUUGUGGGACCACUUUGGCCAACCCAACCAUGGUUUGUUCAAGUAAUGAAACUGUUAAUAAACAAUCCAUAUGUUAUCAAAGCAAACAAAAAGCUAUUGACUCUACCAUACAAGGACAUAGUUCAUCCUUUAGAAAAGACAUUGAAUUUGAUGGUAUGUCGGAUAUCCGGAACCGAUUACAAAACAGAGGAAUUUCAGAGAAAACUUCCACUAUUAUCAUGGCAUCAUGGAGAUCAGGAACUCAAAAACAAUAUAAAACAUAUAUCAAGAAAUGGUUUAUUUUCUGUCUUGAACGGAAAGAGGAUAAAUUUCACACGUCUGUAGAACUUGUGCUAGAAUUUCUGACUUAUUUGUUUGAAUGUGGCUUGAGUUAUUCCGCUUUGAAUAGUGCUAGGUCAGCACUAUCUGCGUUUGGUUUGACUUUUGAUAAUGUACCUGUUGGAAAGCAUCCACUUGUGAUAAGAUUUCUCAAAGGAGUAUAUCAUUUGAGACCAUCUGUACAUAAUGAUGUAAAUAUUUGGGAUGUUUCUAUUGUUUUGAGAUUGUUGAGACGUUUAUCACCAGUUGCUGAUAUAUCAGUGAAAGAUUUAACUUUAAAACUAGUUAUGUUAAUUGCAUUGACGAAUGCUACUAGAUCACAGAGUAUUCAUUUAUUAAAACUCAGCAAUAUGCAAAAACAGAAGGAUUGUUUUCGUUUUAAGAUAUUUGAUUUACUGAAACAAAGCAGACCUGGAUAUAAGAAUCCAGAAGUUAUUUUAAAAAGUUUUCCUCCAGACAGGAGAUUAUGUGUGUAUUUAGUACUGAAGGAAUAUUUGAAACGUACUGUUGAUAUAAGAUCAGAAGAAGAUUCAUUAAUAUUAAGUUAUAUUAAACCACACAAAAAAGUUAGUUGCUCAACUAUUUCUAGAUGGAUUAAAUCCAUUAUGUGCCGUGCAGGAAUUGACACAAGUAUAUUUAAAGCACACAGUACACGAUCUGCAUCUACUUCGAAGGCAAAGCAGAAUAAUGUGCCUGUAAGUGAUAUUUUAGCCAAAGCCGGUUGGUCAAGUUCAACGACUUUUGGAAAAUUUUAUGACAAGACAGUAACAACAAGUGAUGUUUUUGCAGAAAAAGUGUUACAAAUCUGA
Molecule: small RNA, 2631 nt
Filed under: Mytilus galloprovincialis (Mediterranean mussel)
Lineage: Eukaryota; Metazoa; Mollusca; Bivalvia; Mytilida; Mytilidae
Source: RNAcentral